Molecule: long non-coding RNA, 214 nt
Filed under: Brassica napus (rape)
Lineage: Eukaryota; Viridiplantae; Streptophyta; Magnoliopsida; Brassicales; Brassicaceae
Description: long non-coding RNA (BNAP_LNC026411)
Source: RNAcentral
AGGGAUGUUGUAUUGGGUUGCCCAACCCAACCCAACUCUAUUUAGUUUAAGCUCAACCCAAAGUGAGCCCUAACCCUUUUAGAACCCAUCAUAUUAUUUGUAUUAGGGUUGAACCCUUCCUAACCCUUUUUGAGCCCUUUAAUUUUUUUUUUUUAUGUAAACACAUUUUACUGUAAUCUCUUACAAAAUUAUAUAUUUUAUAUACUAAUACAUA